Molecule: ribosomal RNA, 305 nt
Filed under: uncultured bacterium
Lineage: Bacteria
Description: bacterial SSU rRNA
Rfam family: Bacterial small subunit ribosomal RNA
Source: RNAcentral
CCUACGGGAGGCAGCAGUGAGGAAUAUUGGUCAAUGGGCGAGAGCCUGAACCAGCCAAGUCGCGUGAAGGAUGACGGCCCUACGGGUUGUAAACUUCUUUUGUCAGGGAGCAAUUGGGUCCACGCGUGGGCUUAGCGAGAGUACCUGAAGAAAAAGCAUCGGCUAACUCCGUGCCAGCAGCCGCGGUAAUACGGAGGAUGCGAGCGUUAUCCGGAUUUAUUGGGUUUAAAGGGUGCGUAGGCGGGAUGCCAAGUCAGCGGUCAAAUACGGGGGCUCAACCUGCGUCCGCCGUUGAAACUGGCGUU